AAUUAUUGCCGGUCCUCCCUUCUAUCACUGCCCUCGCUACCUAUACACUCCCUUCCGUGUCUUUCUCCACUUCCCCCACCCGCGUUCCCCGCGCGGACGGAGCUGAGGGGGCGGGGGCUCCCUCCCGGGAGCGCUUCUAGAGCUCGGAGGCAGCUCGUAGGGGCUUGACAGUCUACAUGUUUAAGUCUACCAGAAAAAAAAAAAAAAAUCACUGGAUAUGAAGUUGCAAUACAGAUCAAAGUCUGCAUCCACAUCCUCACAUUGGUGACCUUGGGGCACCACUUUCAGAUAAAAACAUAGACCUGAAUGGCAUCAUCCAGUAUCCAAGGAAACCAUGUAAGUACCUCUCUCACUGUGUACUUCUCUUAUUCAGAGUUUAAAAGCUAGCUGAGUACUGAAUAAGUGAGUGUUUUUAUUUAAUAAUUAUACGGGAGGUACUUUUUAGGAGUUUGCUAAAAAGAAACAGGUUCUUGAUUGUUAUAUGCAUCAUAACAAAGCUCUUAUGUUUUCAUCAUAUUUUUUAAAAUUAUGUGCUUAGUUCCAACCUCUCCAUCAUUUCUCAUUCUUAGGUACAAAACAGCUACUCAAAGUCCUGAUGAAUUGAGAGUUUCAAACUUUUCUAAGACCCAUUAGUGUCUGAGAAACAAUGUUUCAGAGUCCCUGUGCCAAGAAUAGUUACCUAAUGGUGAUAAAGCUUUUUAAAUUUUAAAAAUUAAGAAAAAUUAUUUGAAAAUAUUAUUUUGUUAGUAAAUAUUUGUAGCAGUUUAUUUGGUUUGAGACUUGCUCGGGGAUUGAGCAAGUGAGCGAAGAGAUGAGAUUAAGUAUUUAAACAACCAAAUCAUCUUGAAAGCAAGUGUAAUUUCCAAAAUGCAAAAAUUUGUUGGACAACAAUUUGAGAGGUUGGCAUAUUAUUUUCAUUCAUUUUUUCUCUUUUUCAUUCAUUCUUUCUCUUUUGCACCCAAUUUAAGGUACAUUUCAGUAGCUAAUAUCAGGGCCCUAAUUAAUUUUCAGAAAUGAUGGAAUCUACUAUGGAAAUUCAGCUUUAAAAUAACAUAGUGUUCUAGAGAUAGAUCUAUUUCUAAAAUAUUUGGAUUAUUCUAUCAAGUAUUUCUUUACUUGGACUUUAUUAUUUUCUCAUAUUUGAACUUUCUACUUUUGAUAUAAAAUUAUUUUCAAUAUUAAAUUAUUAUUCAUUAUAGUUUACUUUUUUUUUUUGUCGUUUAUCUUUUUUUUUUUUUAGGGCCACACCCACAGCAUAUGGAAGUUCCCAGGCUAGAGGUUGAAACAGAGAUACAGCUGCUGGCCUAUACCACAGCCACAGCAACACAGGAUCACAGCCUCCUCUGAGACUUACACUGCAGCUCACAACAAUGCUGGAUAUUUAACCCACUGAGAGAGGCCAGGGAUCGAACCUGCAUCCUCAUGGUUACUAGUCAGAUUCAUUUCCACUGCUCCACAACAGGAACUCCAUAGUUUACUUUUUAAUAAAAAUUCUUAAACAUAUACUCAUAUAAUUAUAGGCCUCUUUUUCUUUUUACCAUCUGGAUCAGCUAAAUGGUCUAUCUAGUUUUUUUUUUUUUUUGGUCUUUUCUAGGGCUGCACCCGCAUAUGGAGGUUCCCAGGCUAGGGGUCUACCUAAUUGGCGCUGUAGCUGCUGGCCUACGCCACAGCAACGUGAGAUUCGAGCCGGGCCUGUGACCUACACCAAAGCUCAUGGCAAUGCCAGAUCCUCAGAUCCUGCAAGGCCAGGGAUCGAACCCACAACCUCAUGGUUCCUAGUUGGAUUCGUUAAUCACUGAGCCAUGACGGGAACUCCUGGUUUAUCUAGUUUUUUUUAAAAUGCAGACAUAUUACUUUUCAUUAGGGUUUUCAGGAGCUGCAUUUAAGUGCAACUGGUUCAGACUUGUGGUUUGGGAGUUUUUCAUAUUAUUUGGGUUUACUUUUGUUACUGUUGUGUUUCUCUCUUUCUACUGCAUCAUGAUUCCUUGCUAAGUAUGAAGGACAGAGGUGAUAUCACUCAGUUUCUCUGCUAAGUUAGACAUACCCUUUACCCAUGAGGAGAACCUGGCUAGGCUAUGAGUGUUUUUUAUGCUAGUUACAAACUUCACAAGUGUGGAGUUGGAGGCCUGACAUACUGCCCUUUGAACCAGGAAUUUCAUCACACAAAAUAAAGAUUGUACCAUUGCUGGGUAAACUUUGAAGCAGAUCAGGGUUAGAAUAGAUCAUUAAAGAAGAAAGACAAUACAAAUUGGAAAGGAAAACUGGCUAAUGUUAUAAUUCCCCAUUUCGAGGAAAUGGAUAUUUUAAUUCAACCUCCUAUACCACAGAAAAAUGACUUAAUAGAAAUAAACUGAUAAAUGAACAUCAGUUCAUCAGUAGUGUUCUAACAAAGAUCAUUAUGCAGCAAAACUUUCUGUGAUGAUGGGCAUGUUCUAUAUCUGCAAGUCCAGUGUGGUAACCAGUAGCCACGUGUCUGUUGAGCACUUGAAAUAUGACUUGUGUGAUGGAGAAAUGGAAUUUUAAUUUUAUUUAAAUUUAAUUACUUUCAAUUUACAUAGGCCAUAUGUAACUAGUGGCCACUGUACUAAUAUUUUGCUUUUAUUGGAAAUUAAAAUACCCUCUUGCAAAGAGUUUUUAAUCUUUUCGUAUGCUAUCAUAUAAUAUACCAAAAGAUUAAUAUUUGCUUUGAUAUUUGAAUUAUCAUUGUAGUGAAAUAUUUUAUAACAUUUCCCAGAGAUGGAUGUUUUUAAUACUGUUGAUGGGAAUACAUAAUAUUGAUUUAUAAGCCUGGGGUAGCAACUUUUAAAGUGGCCAUUGUAAACAAGUCUGUGUUUAAAAAGAAAAACACUUUAAUGAAAGUUCUAAGACGAUAAAUAUUUUGAAAAUACAUUCUUGCAAAUACUUCCUAAAAUGUGACCAGCUUAUACAAAUGCACACGCUGGCCUUGAUUCCCCAAAGUCGAUCCCAAAGCACACAUCAGGUUUUAAACAUGCUCCUAUAGCCUUUUCAGAUAUUUAGUGAAAAUGAGCAUUAGGAUGCAUGAUAUUUUAAUAGUAGUGCUAGUACAGUAAUGUUGUAGACAAAAUAAUUAUCUAAAAUACUGAAAAUUUGAAAUUAAUAUUUUAAAAAUCAGUAAGUCAACUGAUUUCUUAUCCAGGAAAUGGAGGGCAGGAUUUAGAUAAGGUAAGAAGAGAGAAGAGAUUUCUUUAAUCUGAACCUUGGACAAGCUACUCAGAGUAUCCCUCUGACUGCCAAAAAAAAAAAAAAAAAAAAAA
Molecule: long non-coding RNA, 3275 nt
Filed under: Sus scrofa (pig)
Lineage: Eukaryota; Metazoa; Chordata; Mammalia; Artiodactyla; Suidae
Description: lncRNA (ENSSSCG00025012098.1)
Source: RNAcentral